AACUUUGCGCAGUGGCAGUAUCAUAACCAAUGAAGUUAAUCUGAGGUAUGAUUAUUGCUAGUUGAAAACUUUUCCAUUGUAUUAAGAUUCCUUAACAUUACUAUAUGAUACUCAAACCUUAUGAUUAAAUACUGCAGUUCACACUAUCUGG
This 151-nucleotide small nuclear RNA is filed under the name Gopherus evgoodei (Goodes thornscrub tortoise). Its description in RNAcentral is "U4 spliceosomal RNA (ENSGEVG00005000490.1)". The stretch from base 1 to 78 matches the Rfam family "U4 spliceosomal RNA". From Rfam's summary of the family: U4 small nuclear RNA (U4 snRNA) is a component of the major U2-dependent spliceosome. The structure of U4 snRNA from yeast and human has been reported. Lineage: Eukaryota; Metazoa; Chordata; Testudines; Testudinidae. The record is from RNAcentral.